This is a non-coding RNA of Ascosphaera aggregata, 119 nucleotides long. NCBI's taxonomy places the organism in Eukaryota, Fungi, Ascomycota, Eurotiomycetes, Onygenales, Ascosphaeraceae. The record is from the annotation of a GenBank genome assembly.
GGGAAGUUGGCCGAGUGGUUAUGGCGCUAGGUUUAGGCUAAGCAUACCAAUCUCUGAUUGGUCUGUCACAGCGAUCCCUAGUUUCGAAAGAUUCGCGAGUUCGAAUCUCGCACUUCUCA